GCCAUUUCGAGUGGUUGUUGAGG
Molecule: non-coding RNA, 23 nt
Filed under: Arabidopsis thaliana (thale cress)
Lineage: Eukaryota; Viridiplantae; Streptophyta; Magnoliopsida; Brassicales; Brassicaceae
Source: RNAcentral